Herpailurus yagouaroundi (jaguarundi) is the source of this 259-nucleotide long non-coding RNA. RefSeq lists it as uncharacterized. The transcript is spliced from 3 exons. The record is from RefSeq and is a predicted model, not a curated record. Lineage: Eukaryota; Metazoa; Chordata; Mammalia; Carnivora; Felidae.
GACGCCUCUGCCGAAGAGAAGCGUCUUAACGUUCCGCCUUCAGAGCAGCAGAAGGGUUUUUGAUGCCGAUCACGAAGGUUGGGAGACCAGUAGGAAUGAACCAGAGGAGACCAGCUGUGACUCCGAGGGAGGCUGCACCAUCAGCCCAGGGCCCCAAGGAGCGCAGAGCCGGCGCAGAGAUGGGCGUGACCCGUGCGUAAGCAAUAAUCCUUGGGAGAGAGACAGAGCAUGAAUGGGGGAGGGGCAGAGAGAGAGGGAG